RNAcentral lists this non-coding RNA (24 nucleotides) under Mus musculus (house mouse). The record is from RNAcentral. Lineage: Eukaryota; Metazoa; Chordata; Mammalia; Rodentia; Muridae.
UGUAGCAGAAAAGCGGCAUAUGCA